RNAcentral lists this long non-coding RNA (201 nucleotides) under Helianthus annuus (common sunflower). RNAcentral's name for it is "sRNA HanXRQr2_Chr16g0777741". The record is from RNAcentral. Lineage: Eukaryota; Viridiplantae; Streptophyta; Magnoliopsida; Asterales; Asteraceae.
GUGUGUGUUCUGGUCGAGAUUUCCACAGGAGAAAAAGGGGUUCUCUACAUUGAACCCUAGCAUACACAAAAUCAAUCAAAUUGAAGGCCAAAUCGGGCUCGAAUCAAAGGCACGAAUACAUACAAAUGAUCACCAAGUCGAGGGGAUCUAGAGUUUGACUCUUGACAAGCUAGAUGGAGGCUUGGGGAAAGAAGCGGGUCA